RNAcentral lists this ribosomal RNA (432 nucleotides) under uncultured bacterium. RNAcentral's name for it is "partial 16S ribosomal RNA". It matches the Rfam family "Bacterial small subunit ribosomal RNA", at positions 29 to 507 of the family's 1533-position model. The record is from RNAcentral.
ACGAGCGCCGGCGGCAUGCCUAACACAUGCCAGUCGAACGAGACCUUCGGGUCUAGUGGCGCACGGGUGCGUAACGCGUGGGAACCUGCCCUUAGGUUCGGAAUAACUCCCCGAAAGGGGUGCUAAUACCGGAUAAUGUCUUCGGACCAAAGAUUUAUCGCCUUUGGAUGGGCCCGCGUUGGAUUAGCUAGUUGGUAGGGUAAAAGCCUACCAAGGCGACGUUCCAUAGCUGGUCUGAGAGGAUGAUCAGCCACACUGGGACUGAGACACGGCCCAGACUCCUACGGGAGGCAGCAGUGGGGAAUAUUGGACAAUGGGCGAAAGCCUGAUCCAGCAAUGCCGCGUGAGUGAUGAAGGCCUUAGGGUUGUAAAGCUCUUUUACCCGGGAUGAUAAUGACAGUACCGGGAGAAUAAGCUCCGGCUAACUCCGUG